Nelumbo nucifera (sacred lotus) is the source of this 1078-nucleotide long non-coding RNA. RefSeq lists it as uncharacterized. The record is from RefSeq and is a predicted model, not a curated record. NCBI's taxonomy places the organism in Eukaryota, Viridiplantae, Streptophyta, Magnoliopsida, Proteales, Nelumbonaceae.
AACCCACCCACUUCCAAACCCACUCAUACUCACCCAUUUCAGUAGUGGGUUAUAUGGGUCAAAUGACCCAUUAGGAUCAAGGAAAAAAGGGUUAGGGUGGAUUGGGUCGAGGGUACCCAUUGCGUCAAAAGGGUUAGGGUCACUUGGGUCAAGGAGAGGGUCGAGAGAGGGUUGAGAGAGAGUAAGAGCAAAGGGCCGAGAGAGAGAGUAAGAGGAGAGGGUAGGGGAAACGGUCGAGAGAGGAGUUGCAGAGUGGCUGUCGAACAAACAUCUUAGGUUUUUCUCAGUUCUCAGUCGAACGAACUUCCACCAUCAAAGAUCCAUUUAAGGUUUUGUUUGUUCUAGUCAUCAGAUCAAGUGCAAGGUCGAAAGUUGUUAGAGUUUCAAGCCACUCGCCAUCCAAAAUUUUCGCAGUUCUAAGGGGAGCGCAAGUCUCCGUUAGAUCCGCCAUUGAAGCAACCAAGAUCUUGGAUAGUGAAAUUUAUCUCUGACAAGCAUGAGAACACUGGGACCAACAUUGAAUAAUGGCCUUUUAUAGCGAAAAUUUUCUAUUUCUGCAAGGGGUGGAACAAAAGUAUAUUGUCUGCAAGGAGACCAACAUUGGAAAUCUUCGUUUGUGAAACAGGCUUUCCCCUUUCAAUCUCAUUUAAAGUAUAUUGUCUGAAAAGAGCUAGUGUGGUACUUCAACAUUGAAGACUGUUUAGUGACUAGAUGGGUGCAUUUUUCUUUCUUGGUAAAUGGAUUUAAACAGUUCAAAGCAUCUGGGCGUUGUUCUUCCUGAUCCACUUGUAUCUUCCAACUUAGAAAAUUUUGAAGUUUCUUUUCUGGUAUUCCUGAACUGCUUGAUCCUAUUUGCCUACCAAAAUUCCGACUGAUACCAACAAGAGUUUGAAGUGACAGGCUGAACUUUAGGAGAAGACUAGAAACCAAAUAACUAAAUGCCGUGUUUAGGCACAUCUUAGUCAGUGAAGAACUUUUUUGGUUAAAUAUAUGUUUCUCUCUUAUUUGUAUCAAAUUAAGCACAGCAUUAAAUAUAUGUUUCUGCUAACUGAAAUUGAAAUUGAUGUUCAUUUUUGUU